RNAcentral lists this long non-coding RNA (2679 nucleotides) under Homo sapiens (human). RNAcentral's name for it is "HSALNT0164277". Lineage: Eukaryota; Metazoa; Chordata; Mammalia; Primates; Hominidae. The record is from RNAcentral.
CUGGGACCGGCCGCCGUGGUGUGGUGAGGUCUUCCAGAGACUACAUGCCUGUGAUACAGAUGGAACGCAGACACAGAUAUGAGAAUCUUCUAUUAGCCCAGACACUGAAGAGAUUUGCAGAAAUGUAAAAUAAUGCCACUCUUCUCACUAAAUUAUUUUGCUUUGGAAAAUAGUUAUUUUUCAUUAAAAAUAUGUUAUUAGGCCAAAUGAAGUGGCUCACACCUGUAAUCCCAGCACUUUGGGAGGCCGAGGCGGGAAGAUCACCUGAGCCCAGGAGUUCGAAAUCAGCCUGGGCAACAUGGCCAGACCCUCUCUCAAAAAAAAAGUUAUUUAUGUUAUGUUAACAUGUAACAGGUUUAUUAUUGUUGUUUUAAAUGAAUAAAUAUUUUAUAUGUUUGUUUUAAUUCCUAAUAUAGUAAAUGUUGAUAAAUAUGAUCCACAUAAAAGCUUUUUGGAGUCCUCAAUACUUUUUAGGAGUAUAAAGUAAUUAUAAGACCAAAGAGGCAGGGCGUGCGGUGGCUCACACCUGUAAUCCCUGCACUUUGCGAGGCCAAGGCAGACGGAUCACAAGGUCAGGAGAUCAAGACCAUCCUGGCCAACAUGGUGAAACCCUGUCUCUACUAAAAAUGCAAAAAUUAGCUGGGCAUGGUGGCAAACACCUGUAAUCCCAGCUACUCAGGAGGCGGAGGCAUGAGAAUCAUUUGGACCCAGGAGGCAGAGGUUGCAGUGAGCUGAGAUCACACCAUUGCACUCCAGCCUGGGGACAGAGUCAGACUCCAUCUCAAAAAAAAAAAAAAAAACUUCCUCAAAUGGAGCUGUAAUCAACAUAUUCACUAGCCCUACAUAGAGCUGACUCUGAAAGUUGACAGUUUACUCAGUAAUUAAAAUGGCCGUAGACUCUGAAGCAGAUUUACUGUGAAGCUAAGGAGGCUUCAGCUUCAGGUGCCCUCAUUUACACUAGCCCUUUCCAAGUCCCUGGAAGGGUCCCUAGUAAUAUGUUCACACUGUCCUAUGCUUCUGUAAAAUUUAUAAAAGUAAUGUAUUUUAAACUGCAAUCUUUAGUCCUUAGUGACUUCCCUCCACCAUGUUUCCCUUUGUCUAGUGUUGGAGUGGCAAGCAAACAUUUUUGAAAUUUAGCUAAAGGGAAGUUGAGUUAGGAAUACAUUUGGUUUGAAUUUACUGGGAUAUAUUUUUAUAACCCACAGUCACUUCCAUGUGUAGUUAAGAUAUUGCCAGCUGUCCCAGUGGCUUCCAAGAAUACUCCAAUUGCCCGUUGUGCUGAUCCACCCAGCAUUGCAAAACAAAGGUGCAGGGCCAGAACUCUUGAAGUUAUUUUAAUGUGUCCAAUGUUCUAGCAUCAAAAACUAUGUGAAUAGUAGAAGAGAAGCAGGGUUGAAAUUUUGGGAACCUGAAGCUAAUCUGUGGGAAAUUAUUCCAAUUAUUGGAUGUGUAAAAUUGUAAAGAUUUAGCAUUCAUCAAUACCUAGCCAAAAAAGUGUUGUUUUUUUCUUAGAGACAGGGUUUCACUCUGUCACCCAGGCUGGAGUGGAGUUGCAUGAUCAUAGCUCACCGUAACCUCCAACUACUGCGCUCCAGCGAUCCUCCCACCUCCCAAGUAGCUGGGACUACAGGCCUGCACGACCAUGUCCGGGUUUUCUGUAGGAUUUUGUUUUGUUUGCAGAGACAGGUCUCACCAUGUGUCCAGGCUGGUCUUGAACUCCUGGGUUCAAGCAAUCCUCCCACCUAGGCCUCCCAAAGUGCUGCAAUAACAGUCAUGAGCUGUGGGGCCCUGCCCAAAAAAGAAAUUUAUAUUUUUUUCUCAGAACUUGAUGAGGACAUCCACAACAAACUAAAGAGUGUCAUUAGUUUAAAGAAAUCUGAUGGGUCCUGAACUCUUUUUAAGUCAUAUAUUAAAUAAUCUUUUGGAAGCCGGAUGUGGUGGCUCUCCCAGGUAAUUGCAGAACUUUGGGAGGCCCAGGUGGGAGGAUCUAUUAAGGCCAGAAGUUUGAGACCAGCCAGGGCAAGAUGGUGAGACCUUACCUCUACAAAAAAAGUUUUUUUAAUUAGCUGGGUGUGGUGAUAUGUGUCUGUAGUCCCAGCUAUUCAGGAGGCUGAGGCUAGAGGAUCAGGAUAUAGGAUGCAGCAAGCUGUGGUCUCACUACUGCACUCCAGCCUGGGCAACAGAAAGAGAUCCUGUGUCUAAAUAAAUAAAUAGCUUAUUGGAGAUUUUUCAAAACUGGACAACAAGCCUAAUAAUUUAUAUGACAUUACCAACAAUGAGUUGUGAACUUUAAUCAAUCACAUAUGCUAUGUGAAUUAGAAGAGAAAGAGAGUCUAGGUUAGUAAUUCAAGAUUCAUAGAAUAAAUAUUUAUAGAACACCUACCUUCUGUGUCCAAGACACUGCCUACUGAGCUGUGGAAGAUCAAACUUUAAUUAGACAAUCUCUGCUUUUAAGGAGCUUAUAAUCUUUGUUGAAAAGAAUUAAAACCUGCACUGUGGCAAUAGAAAUUCAUUCAUCCAUAAAUAAUUGCCUGCCCAUAUAAGCCAGACUAUGGUAAGUGCUGGGUAUAUGAUUCCUGCUGUUGUAGAAUUUGGAGUCCUUUGAAGAAAACCUACAACAUAAAAAUGUAUGUUUCAGCUGGGCAUGGUGGCUCACACCUGUAAUCCAAGCACUUUGGG